RNAcentral lists this ribosomal RNA (428 nucleotides) under uncultured bacterium. Its description in RNAcentral is "partial 16S ribosomal RNA". It matches the Rfam family "Bacterial small subunit ribosomal RNA", at positions 354 to 796 of the family's 1533-position model. The record is from RNAcentral.
GUGGGGAAUAUUGGGCAAUGGGGGCAACCCUGACCCAGCAACGCCGCGUGAGGGAAGAAGGUUUUCGGAUUGUAAACCUCUGUCCUAUGGGAAGAAGGAAGUGACGGUACCAUAGGAGGAAGCCCCGGCUAACUACGUGCCAGCAGCCGCGGUAAUACGUAGGGGGCGAGCGUUGUCCGGAAUUACUGGGCGUAAAGGGUGCGCAGGUGGCCUGACAAGUCAGAUGUGAAAUACCGAUGCUUAACGUCGGGGCUGCAUUUGAAGCUAUGAGGCUGGAGUGCAGGAGAGGGAAGCGGAAUUCCUAGUGUAGCGGUGAAAUGCAUAGAUAUUAGGAGGAACACCAGUGGCGAAGGCGGCUUUCUGGACUGUAACUGACACUGAGGCACGAAAGCGUGGGGAGCAAACAGGAUUAGAUACCCUUGUAGUCC